UGGGGAAUAUUGCACAAUGGGGGAAACCCUGAUGCAGCAACGCCGCGUGAGUGAUGACGGUCUUCGGAUUGUAAAGCUCUGUCUUUAGGGACGAUAAUGACGGUACCUAAGGAGGAAGCCACGGCUAACUACGUGCCAGCAGCCGCGGUAAUACGUAGGUGGCAAGCGUUGUCCGGAUUUACUGGGCGUAAAGGGAGCGUAGGUGGAUAUUUAAGUGGGAUGUGAAAUACCCGGGCUUAACCUGGGUGCUGCAUUCCAAACUGAAUAUCUAGAGUGCAGGAGAGGAAAGGAGAAUUCCUAGUGUAGCGGUGAAAUGCGUAGAGAUUAGGAAGAAUACCAGUGGCG
Molecule: ribosomal RNA, 345 nt
Filed under: uncultured Clostridium sp.
Lineage: Bacteria; Bacillati; Bacillota; Clostridia; Eubacteriales; Clostridiaceae
Description: bacterial SSU rRNA
Rfam family: Bacterial small subunit ribosomal RNA
Source: RNAcentral